GACGAACGCUGGCGGCGUGCUUAACACAUGCAAGUCGAACGGAAAGGCCUCUUUCGGGGGGUACUCGAGUGGCGAACGGGUGAGUAACACGUGAGUAACCUGCCCUUGACUUUGGGAUAACUUCAGGAAACUGGGGCUAAUACCGGAUAGGAGCUCCUGCUGCAUGGUGGGGGUUGGAAAGUUUCGGCGGUUGGGGAUGGACUCGCGGCUUAUCAGCUUGUUGGUGGGGUAGUGGCUUACCAAGGCUUUGACGGGUAGCCGGCCUGAGAGGGUGACCGGCCACAUUGGGACUGAGAUACGGCCCAGACUCCUACGGGAGGCAGCAGUGGGGAAUAUUGCACAAUGGGUGGAAGCCUGAUGCAGCAACGCCGUGUGCGGGAGGACGGCCUUCGGGUUGUAAACCGCUUUCGCUCAUGACGAAACUUUGUGUGACGGUAGUGGGUAAAGAAGCACCGGCUAACUACGUG
Molecule: ribosomal RNA, 467 nt
Filed under: uncultured bacterium
Lineage: Bacteria
Description: partial 16S ribosomal RNA
Rfam family: Bacterial small subunit ribosomal RNA
Source: RNAcentral